AGUUGAAGGGGUUGGAUCUUCAAGACCAUCAAAUUUCUUUUGUCUCACUUGUUACCUCUGCUCUUUCUCUAGUUUGCUUACCAUUGUAACCAACGGCAGAGGGACCGGCUCUUUGCUGAAGCAUUCUUCGACAAUCUGAUUGGAAGGGAUUCUCAAGGAGCAUCCAUGAAGACGAAUCAACACUCCGAACACUAUCAAUUGAUUUACAAGGAGACCCUGUUGAUAUAGAAAAGGCAAUGAACACAAAAUUUGGUCGGAGAUCGAGUAACCAUACCUAUAGGCUGCACAAACAAUUCAUGGAGCUGAAGGAAGCUAAAGAGGAGGAGUAUGCAAAAUAUCACCCACUAAAGGAUGUCGAUCCUACCAAGUGGAUAGAUCUUAUUGAUAAAAAGUGAACACUAGAGAUUUUUUGGAACAAUCAAAAGCCAACAUCGCAAACAACGAAAAGAUGAAUACAAAACAUAGGUGUGGUUCUAGGUCAAUCCCUGUUAGAGCAGAAAAAUUGGAAAAUAUGAUACAGACAUAGGCUUAUCACCUCUCACAACUGGGAUCAAUCCCUUUGACUGCAGAAGAGUUGUCAAUCAAAGUCCUAAAGCCAAGGUAUGGCUACAUGAAGGGACUUAGCAUGAGACCUUCAUCCUCUAUUAGGAGGACCACUACCAUAUAUGUUGAAACAAAUGAUUAUGUGAAAUGCCUUGAGAUGCAAAUAGAGACACAGAAGGAACAAAUACAAAUGUAGAACAAUAAAAUAGAAGAUCUUGAAGAGGGUAGGAAGAAGCAAGGGGAGAUAAUGGCAGAUGUCAUAAACUUUCUAAGGAGCAAAGGAUUCACUGGACACUUUGGAAGUGGAGGGGACUCAUCCACAAGUGGACAUACUUCUUGAUUGGAUUAGGGUGCCAUUUUUGACAUGCAACAAUGAUCUAAUUUGCUUGAAUGUUCAUUUUUGUUUGAUAAGGAUACACAUACUUUGUCGAGUUGCACUAGUUAUUGUUGGAUGUUUGGUGGAAUUGCACUAGUUAUAACUGUUGGAUAUUUUGUAGAUAUUGCACUAUUUUAUUGUAUUAGGAUGAAAUUAUUUGUA
This is a non-coding RNA of Camellia sinensis, 1081 nucleotides long. Lineage: Eukaryota; Viridiplantae; Streptophyta; Magnoliopsida; Ericales; Theaceae. The record is from RefSeq and is a predicted model, not a curated record.